CUUUUGGAAAACAGUGUUAUGUGUCAGGCUCUUAACCUGAAGGUGGAAAAUUUAGUUUUCUCCAGAGG
This 68-nucleotide transfer RNA is filed under the name Syndesmis echinorum. Its description in RNAcentral is "tRNA-Lys". The record is from RNAcentral. Lineage: Eukaryota; Metazoa; Platyhelminthes; Rhabdocoela; Umagillidae.